CUGUUAUAACCUGCUCCAUGACAACCUUGCAACGUCACUAUCAUUAUAAUCAUAUUCUUGUAGAUUUCUCAGUAUGAAGAAGAUAUGCGACACUCAUCAGGUUGUGCCGUGAAAACAUUAUAUGCUCUCUCAUUUAGAUACACGUGUCUCAUGAGAUCAUCCUAUUGUCUUGUCAAUAAAAGAUUCUUCUUUUUAACUAGAUUCUUUGCAAGCUUCUUUCCUUUAUCUGUUAUGAAAGGAUUUGUAGACAUUUCCCUUUUUAACGUUACUUUUAGACAUUUGAUUUUGUGUCUAAUCUGCAAGCUCAAACUUCAUCAGUAGUAUAUUCUAUCACCAAGUCGUCAAUUCUAUCUAUUGUUUGAUAUUUAGAUUUUUGUGUGUCAUGGGAUCAUUCUAUUGUCUUGUCAAUAAAAGGUUGUUCUUUUUAACUGGAUUCUUUGCAACCUUCUUUCCUUUAUCCGUUACGAAAGGAUUUGUAGACAUUUCCCUUUUUUCCAUUACUUUUAGAUAUUUGAUUUUGUGUCUAAUCUGCAAGCACAAACUUCAUUAUUAGUAUAUUCUAUCACCAAGUCAUCGAUUCUAUCUAUUGUUUGAUAUUAUUAAAUCCAUGUAUGAAAUAAAUCUUGGUUCAAGAUUCAUAUUGGAACAUGAAAUGAUGUAAACUCCCUCAUCUUGUUUGAUAUUUCCACUUCCUAGAUAUCCAAAAUUAGCCAAUCAAUGAAAUAAACUCAAACCCAAACGAGGUCCUUACAUUCUAUGUCUAUUAUUUAUAAUGAUUUUAUCCUAGUUUGUCAUAUUCAGUGAUAUAAAUAGUAUUACCGAUGCUGGUGCUAAUGGUUACACAAGGAUAAUGUCUGAUAAGAAAGCCAUAUAUUAUCGAGUCUUCUUUUGCAGCCAAACAUGCUAGGAAUAUACCAAGUUUGUCAGUUAUGUGAUCUCUGCAAUCCCUUUUAUAGUGGAAUUUGUGUUAAUUAGCUGGACAUUAUAAACUGGAGUCUGAGUAUGAUCAAAUGGAAAAAAUGAACAUACUGUAAAUAUAUUUUCCUUGAAAAUGAAAAUUUUGAAAUUUCGUUUCCAAAUAUAACUGUGAGUAUAUUACAGAGUUUCUUUCUUGCACAGUGCGUUGAUUUUCUUUCAAUCACAGGACAUGUGCUUCACUUUCUUCAAUUUGAAGACUAGUUGUACCUUUGCAUUCUUAAUCUGACCCCUUUUCUUUUUGCAGCCCAAUGCUCAAACUGAAGAUGAUGUUACUCCUCUAUUAUCAGCUGCUGCAGCUGGCUCAUUACAGUGUUUGGGGUUGUUAAUCAAGGUUAACUAACUCCCUUUCUAUUCCUUAUUAUUACAUUACUAAUUUGGAUGCCACCAUCUAUUAUACUGUAGCCAGCCUUCUAUAGUUGUCUACUAGCAUUUCGAUAUAUUGUUUUCAUUUACCACCAGCAAUGCUCCAUGGCCCAUGCAUUCACCUUUUUAUCCCUUUUAUUUUUCCUAGUUGACGCAUCAACAUCUAUGAAGGAUUAUGCUAUUUCUUGGGCAUUUGAUCUCCAGUUAUAAUAUUUGGUUUUGAUCUUACGAACUUAAUGUUCUAAAUGACACUAGUUUUAAUUGGAAUAGAAUAUGACUCUUCAAUCAAUGUUCAGUUGCAAUCAAGAUUCAGUUUCCUGUGAUUCCUGUAUUCAGGACAUGCAUGACUUAUAAGAGAGUGGUUUUCUAAUCCAUGGAAGUAAAAGAAACCAUGUUUUUAUUUUAUGAAAAUUAAGAAAUAUUAAAAAGCAUUUUGGCUUAGAGUUAUGCUCCAAAGCUACAUCUGUCUCAUUAGGGAACUCAAUUCUCUUGUAUCAGAAAUUUUGUUAACAUUUUUCAUUUCUCAAAGUACAAGGAUUCUCUUUUUUGCUCUUUUUUAAAGUGUCAUUCCUUUAAUGAUUUUUUCUUUGUAUUUCAACAUAAGCAUAUGCAAGAAAGCUAUGAUCUUCAAGCAAGGAGAAUUUUUUUUAGCGUUUGCCUAUAUGUUUCCUAGGCACGAGCCUAUUGCACGGAUCUGUGUUUAAUUGUCUCUAUGUGGUCUUUCUUUCUUUUAAAUCUCGUCUAUGUUAUUAGUAUGAGGAGCUUUAAUAUUUGUUAGCUGUUUGGUUAACAAGAAUGUUCUGAAUUGAUGCUCUUUUUGGCUGUUAAGUGGUUCAUCUUGCUUUAGAAAAUCGAAUAAUGUUCUUCUUCUUUUCCUUUUUCACGAAAAGUAAAAGUAAAGACUUUAUAUGCAGUGUUUGGCACAAUUUUUUUUAUUAAGAUUGAAAAUAUGAUUAUAUCUGAUGACUAAACUUAAUGGGAUCUUUUCUGCUGCGAUGUAUGCUGUCACGUUUUAACGGAUAAUUCAUUUGCAUGUUCAUCAAUUAUGAAAAUAAAAAAUGCCGGAUUUGGCUACGACAUGUAGUUUGUUUAUUUAUUUGUUUGUGUUUCCCCCCCCUUUUUUUGUUAAACAUACCAAGCACAAUACGCACUUUCUUCUUUUUUCAUACAGGCAGGUGCCAAUGUGAAUAUUACUGCUGGUGGAGCAACGCCUCUGCACAUUGCUGCUGAUGUUGGUAGCCCAGAAGUCAUAAACUGCUUAUUGCAAGCUGGAGCAAAUCCUAAUGCCACAGACGAGGUAACAUUCGCAGAUAUGUGCAAAAGUUUUUGUAUUUUACUAUUUAUGUACAAGUUUUUAAUUAGAGAUUUUUUGGUCUUUCGUGUGUUCACCCUUUCAAGGUUCAAGCGGAAUAUUGCUACAGGAUAAGUUUGAAAAUACCGUCAUAUAUCUUUAUUUGAUAUAAGAUUUCCCUGACCCUAAAUCAUACCGAAUAUUAUAUUUAAUAUGUUGGGUAGAAAAGAUACUUGUAAUUACUAAUCACACAUCCCAUUUGCCAGGAAAUAGUAGGAAAAAGAGUUCCGAAAUGUUGGUUGCUGUUCAAUAGAUCAAGCUACUGCUGUUUUUACACUCACUUUGAACUGAAUGCAUAAUCUGUGAAAGUUCCCCUUAUAUUUACUGCUCAACUAGCUGAUUUCAUUUGGAACAUUCAUUUUUAUUCAUGAAGACGUUUUCGUUGAAAAUCUAUCUUGUUAAUGGUGGAAGAAAGGAAUGUGCUUAAUUACGCAAUCUGCCAUCCCCUCUUUAAGUUUUUGCAUUUAUAUUUUGUCUUGCAUUUUUCACCAAAUUUUCCGACUCUUAACAAGACCCCAUUAGCUGAUGCAUUCUGUAGUAUGGACACUUCAACUAGAGUGAUGUGCUCGUGUCCGACACGUGUCGAAACCGAUGCUCCUCGAACACUUUAUCAUAAACAUUUUUCUUUUUUUAUUAAAAACGUUUUUCUUUUUUUAUUAAAAUUUUUAUAUAUUUUUAAUUCAAAAUUAUUAGUAAAUAAUAAAUGGGUAUGCAUAUUUAAAAGAUUUCAACAAGAAAAACUAAUAACGAGUAUAAAACUAAAUUCAUACUAUGGCCCUGUUUGAGCCGCAUUCUUUCAAAAAAAUACAUUAUUAAACAGUGAUUUGAUAUCAUUUUAACCACAUAUUUUUCAAUAAAAUAAUAUUAUACGCAAAUCCAAAAUUGCUCCUCAACACAUUCUCCAUCAAUUUACUAUUCGAAAANGGUGGCGGAGAGAAAUUCUUAAGCCCUACGACAGUGGUAGGUUUCCAGUCCACAAACCGACGAGUAUAGAAUUCAUUGUUUGACUACAAAAAUGAAAAAUAUAAUUGUUAUUCAUUCCAUCAAACUAUCAUAUUUAACUUUUUAUUUUGUUUGGAUCUUAUAAUAACUAUAUUUUUCAUUCUCAUUCUUAUAAAAAUGGAUACCAAACGAACCUGAAAUUGAAAAUAUUUCGAAUUGCCCCUCUUACUUCUAAAAAUAUGCAAUUUACACCCUGUGGCUGUAAAAUAAAGCAAAUUGUGUGUUAGUUUUUCUUUUUAUAGCCCCUCUAUUUCAUAGGUUUAUGCCUUGAUGUUGGUAAUAUAAUGCUCCUUCUACGCAAGAAAAAAAAUCUUUAGACUAAAUGUUAACAACAACAAAAUUGUGUAAAAUUUUGAAAUAUAUUUUAGGCAAGUCAAAGGAUGGGGAAGAGAUUAAUGAUAGUUUUUAUUUCUUACACCACAUUUGAAGUUUAGAACUUUAUUCGCGAUUGAACUUAUGUUGUCGUCUUCAUUUUUCAAUCUUCCAUUAAUUAGAAUGUAUUUUCACUAAUGACUCUUUCCGUCCAAAAAAGAUGUAUGGAAAAACUUAUUCUUCCCUUAUAUUUUUAAAUAAGCAUUUGCUACAAUUUAUUUUAUACAAUUUAAAGAAGAUUUUAUAACGUGUAAAAAAUGUCCUUAUCCUUGAUAUCAUUAAUUAUUUGGAAUUUGCUCCUGUAACAAGGAGGCGGAGCCCCACAAAUGGGGGCAGGGCCUGCAAAAAAAAAAAGGAAUCUCCCCCCCUAUUUGUGGGGUUCGGUCAUCAGCCCCUAUUGCUGUAGCGACACCUUAAUUAUUUUAUCCAAUUUGAAGAAUAUAUCUAUUCCUAAUACAAACACCAUAAUCUCUCUUAACCACCCAAGUCUGAAGAAUGAUCCUUUACCAUCCCCCACUUUCCCAAGAAAAAAAAUGCAUAUAUUGGUGCGUUUUUCUUUCAUAUGCGGGGAUUCGAAUGCUUCACCACGUUUUGUGCAGUUACACAAUGAUCAAAGUGAAGAGCCUGCAUAAAUACUGUAACUUCAAAAUUUCAAGGGAAAUAUCCAUUUCUAACUUGAAUUUUGCUAAUUGUACAACCAAGGUUGACGGUUGUACAUAUAACAUUUUCCAAAAUAAAUUUUAAACAGUGAUUUGACAUCAUUUUAACCACACAUUCUUGUAAAUUCAAAAUUUUUUCUUAUUUUUUUACCACACAUUUCCCAUCAUUACACUAUUCAAAAAUGCAUUUUUAUGAAAAUAAGACUCAAACAAGGGCAAAGUAAGAAGAAUUAUUCUAUUUGUACAAAUAAUCUGUAUACCAGAAUGACAGAUCUGAAAAAGAAAAACAUUACCCACUAUGUAACUGUGACAUAUAUAAACUUGAUGACAUCAUUUGCACCCCGGGCCCAAAACGGACACCAUAUGCAAAAGUUAUGCUCAAUUCUUCGAAUGCCGACAAUCCAAGCGUUACAAAUAUGCAAAUGCUCAUUCUUUCGAAAAAUGGCUGAAAUCCCUCUUACGUCACGACGAAGUAGUGAGUUCAAUCCAAAACGGUCGCUACAAUUCCGAAAAGUACUUAUGGGACCAAAACGGAUGCCGUAUGCAAAAGUUAUGCUCAAUUCAUCGAACGCCGACAAUCCAAGCGUUCCAAAUAUGCAAGUGCUUAAUCUUUCGAAAAUUUACGAAGAAUUUGUGAUUUAGUGUUGAACAAACACAUGUUUCUAAAAAUACUCUCACUCAAUAUGUUUUACAAUUGGGUGAAAGUUCAGUUAAAAAGAUUUCGUUUUGCCUGGGAGGAUGGAUAAUUCGUUGUGCAUGUAUCAUGAGGUUAUUCUACGGAUAGCCAAACUCCGUUGGUGCAUGAUGCAGUUAUUAACAAAUGAAAAAGAAAAAAUAAAGAGUUUCAUGUUUAAUGAGACAAGAUGGUAAAACAUAUGGGUGAAAUAAUUGUGUCUUUCAGAUAGAGUUUUGAACGAAGGAAAUGAGUUGGUUAGCUGCAUAAGAAAUGUGUUAUUACAAGGGUCUAGAGUUUGUCAUUAGGGUAGAAGCCCAGCUGGUAAGGAAGAAUUGUGGUGGAAUGAGAAGGUUUGGAUGGUGCAUGAGGCUCAAAUUAAUGCUAUAGAAACAUACCAAAUAAAAAAAUUACAGAGACUUUCGAGAAAUAAUUAACUAAAUGGAAGUUAAAAGAGGCUAGUUUAGGGGCAUAUUGAAUAUCAGAUUCGUAUCUAGUAAUAUGAAAUAAGUUUAAGCUGAUGUAAUGAAGACACAGAUCAUUGUUCUUAAAUUGAAGUAUGUUGCUGACACUGGUUAGAAGACAGAUUCUGAGUCCAAUUUUUCUAUUUUAAAAAAAAAUAAAAAAUUGACUUACUCGCUGAUGAUUCUUUUCACUGAUGAUUCUUUUCAGGUAACACCAGAGGCCAAGAAGAAAGCUGCUGAAGCAAAGGCAAGAGGUGACGAGGCUUUUAAGAGGAAAGAUUAUAUGACUGCAGUUGAUGCUUAUACACAGGUUUGGUUUUGUUUACUUUACUUUCUUUAUAUACAUCCAGUAUACACAGGUUUGGUUUUGUUUUGUUUACUUUC
This 6246-nucleotide long non-coding RNA is filed under the name Olea europaea (common olive). Its description in RNAcentral is "long non-coding RNA (OEUR_LNC010031)". Lineage: Eukaryota; Viridiplantae; Streptophyta; Magnoliopsida; Lamiales; Oleaceae. The record is from RNAcentral.